RNAcentral lists this ribosomal RNA (253 nucleotides) under Salmonella enterica subsp. enterica. RNAcentral's name for it is "partial 23S ribosomal RNA". It matches the Rfam family "Bacterial large subunit ribosomal RNA", at positions 938 to 1190 of the family's 2925-position model. RNAcentral also lists the same sequence under 2 other names. The record is from RNAcentral. Lineage: Bacteria; Pseudomonadati; Pseudomonadota; Gammaproteobacteria; Enterobacterales; Enterobacteriaceae.
ACCAACCCGAUGCAAACUGCGAAUACCGGAGAAUGUUAUCACGGGAGACACACGGCGGGUGCUAACGUCCGUCGUGAAGAGGGAAACAACCCAGACCGCCAGCUAAGGUCCCAAAGUCAUGGUUAAGUGGGAAACGAUGUGGGAAGGCCCAGACAGCCAGGAUGUUGGCUUAGAAGCAGCCAUCAUUUAAAGAAAGCGUAAUAGCUCACUGGUCGAGUCGGCCUGCGCGGAAGAUGUAACGGGGCUAAACCAU